This is a long non-coding RNA of Schistocerca nitens (vagrant locust), 957 nucleotides long. RefSeq lists it as uncharacterized. Lineage: Eukaryota; Metazoa; Arthropoda; Insecta; Orthoptera; Acrididae. The record is from RefSeq and is a predicted model, not a curated record. The transcript has 5 exons.
GCAGUACGUGUUUGUUAACUCUGUAGUAUUAACACAUGAUUAACACCUGUAUUCAAGACGUCGACCUCUUUACAGUUUCAUUGUGAAACCCUUCCUGUGGAGAGGUGAUCCUUGGCACCAGUAGUGUGGAAGAGGAGCGAGAGGCACACCAACACCAGCAGAUGAGUCUCCGUUUAAUACUUGGGAUAUUAUAACAGUAAGUUAUAGCUCCGAUAGUCUUCCAGCAGCAGCAAAUGUUACACAGUCCUAUAGAGGCAAACUUGAAGUAUAAGGUAAUAGUGUUUUGCAUACAAUGGCAAACUUGACCUUUCGCUUAAAAUGGAGUAUCGGCUUUGAAAUUUGGUCACUGGAUACAACUAUAUUAUCUUUCAUGUUGAUAGCAGCAAUCAUCAGAUUGCAAUCCAGUUAAGUACCUGUGAGGCAUGAGAUGUCAAAAAUACUUGUGGGUUAUUGGUAGCCUGUGUCAAGGCAUGUGGCACCUCAAAGUUUAUAACUACUCAUAUAUGCAGCAACUGCUGAAGCAGCCUCUGGCAGUUUAUUGAAGUUCCGUGAACAAAGUGUUGUGUGGUCUGUUUGUGUAAAGUGAUAAAGAAAAAUGUUAAAGUGUAAUUGCAUAUGUAAUUGUGUAUAUAUUUAAUCAUUAUUUUUGUUAGUUGUAAGAUCUAUUUUCAUGUAAAUCAGAACAUUGUAUAAUAGGUAACAACUGAAUGAGGCAGUGUAGCUAUUAACAGCACUGACCUCAUAUUCGGGAGGAUGGGGUUCGCUCUGUCUGGCCAUCCUGGAUCGCUAAGGCAAAUGCCGGGAUGGUUCCUUCAUCAAGGCCACGGCUGACCACCUGUCCCGCCCUUAAAGAGAUCCUUUAAACAUUGUGUGUAUACCCAUAUUUUGAAUUAUUGAUGUUUGUUGUAUUAUGUUGAGAUAUUCUUGGAUGAAAUAAAAAAAGUUUAUACAUUUGUA